Long non-coding RNA from Micropterus dolomieu (smallmouth bass), 1525 nucleotides. RefSeq lists it as uncharacterized. Lineage: Eukaryota; Metazoa; Chordata; Actinopteri; Centrarchiformes; Centrarchidae. The transcript has 3 exons. The record is from RefSeq and is a predicted model, not a curated record.
UGUUUUUUUGAUUUUGUUGUAAAGUUAGUGUAGUAAAGUUUUCUCCAAAUACACAUUCAUCAUACAUACCAUCUAGUAUAAGCAGACGGACUGAGUGAUGUUUAUUUGCACUACUAUUUCAAAAUAAUGCCCAUUAAAUCCCACUCUUAUACCUCAUGACCUGCAUCUUGCCAGCCAAGAGGGAUCUGCACAGGUCUCCUCUGUGUCGCUGAUCUCCUGUCAGCUCCUCUCUCUACCACAGGGCCUAUGGGCUCUGCUGGAUUAAACAGGCGUGCCCAGAAAUCCACAACACCAACAAUUUCACCCUCGGAGCCUUGGAGAAAGACAUGGGUUGAAACUUAAUUUUUAAUUCAAUGGAGAUUACCACACACAUUAUGUAAUACAUAAGAACAUUACUUCACAAUCUAUAUAGAAUAUCUUUAUAUUGGCAAUCGCUGCAUGUUAAUAGAAAAGAAGUAUAUUACUCUAUAUACAGAAUUACUCACCUGUGAUAUUGACAUGGGCCCCAAUUCGCUCUCCUCUCCUUUCCAUGGCACCUAUGAGGGACAUCUGCCCACUGCCGUGUGUCACAAACCUGACUCCUCCUAACGCCUGGUGGAGCUCAACUCUGACCCUUGACCCCUGACCUCCCAGCCUGCCCAGAUCUCGGGCUGUUAGAGCGUAGCGGGACGUGAAGCCAUAGUUGGGUUGGCUGCCUGACACCAGAGGAGUGGAGUGCACCUCAAAGUCCAAGAGGCUGUAGGUGCAGAAGGUCACAAUGUCUUCACCCCUGUCCACACCUGGACGGAUGCUGCCCAUAGUACGAAGCCCUGCUGGGGUGAAAGUGGCGGCCUGGAGGUGGAUCUCCAACAGGGACUCGCCAGCCCUCAGCUGUGAAAAAGACAUGUCGUCCUCAAUGGGCUGUACCAUCUCCUCGUCUCCAGCUGGCCAGGUCUUUACUGAUACGGUGCUCCAGCAGCAGAAGGUUUCUGGUUUUCUGUAAUUCCAGCACAGUCUCGGCAUGCGAUGCCUGGAUGUUUACCAGCUCGCGGGGCGAAUCCUCCACCUUCCCAUCAGCCCACAGGAAAAGCAGCCCAACCCUGCUCUCCUGCUGCAUCCUGAAUGCCUGUAGUUUGAAGGAACGCAUGCAACAAGGAUUAAAAGCAUUUUAUUUUCUCUUUUAAUCAGAGGUUUUAAAAGAGGUUAAAAAAUCGUGCAAACCUUGAUCUGCAAAAGAGUUUCACUGAGCUCCUCAACACUCAUGUCAAACUCCUGGAAGAGAGAAGAGAGAGAUGAUGAAAGCUGUGUCAGGAUAUGUGCUAAAAACAGGAAACCAACUAAGAGACUUAUGCGUGAAACAGCUGUUCAGCAGUGUAUUAUUCAGUUCUUCAACUCUGACCUUAGUGACAGAGUCCAGUCGGUCCUGCAGAGAAGAAACCUGCUCUCUGUACUGGACAACCUCCCGUUCCAGGUGCUCUCGUUUCUCCCUCGUCAUCAUGGAAAACUCUAAUCACAGGAAACAUAAAUAAAUGGCUCUUUAAACUGA